GAUGAACGCUGGCGGCGUGCUUAACACAUGCAAGUCGAACGAUGAAGCCCAGCUUGCUGGGUGGAUUAGUGGCGAACGGGUGAGUAACACGUGAGUAACCUGCCCUUUACUCUGUGAUAAGCCUGGGAAACUGGGUCUAAUACUGGAUAUGACUUCUCACCGCAUGGUGGGGGGUGGAAAGAUUUAUUGGUCUUGGAUGGACUCGCGGCCUAACAGCUUGUUGGGGAGGUAAUGGCUCACCAAGGCGACGACGGGUAGCCGGCCUGGGAGGGUGACCGGCCACCCUGGGACUGAGAGACGGCGCAGACUGCUACGGUAGGCAGCAGUCGGGAAUAUUGCACAAUGGGCGCGAGCCUGAGGCAGAGACGCCGCGUUUGGGAUGACGGCCUUCGGGUUGUAAACCUCUUUCAGUAGGGAAGAAGCGAGAGUGACGGUACCUGAAGAAUAAGCGCCGGCUAACUACGUG
This 466-nucleotide ribosomal RNA is filed under the name uncultured bacterium. RNAcentral's name for it is "partial 16S ribosomal RNA". It matches the Rfam family "Bacterial small subunit ribosomal RNA", at positions 28 to 507 of the family's 1533-position model. The record is from RNAcentral.